Molecule: ribosomal RNA, 253 nt
Filed under: uncultured bacterium
Lineage: Bacteria
Description: partial 16S ribosomal RNA
Rfam family: Bacterial small subunit ribosomal RNA
Source: RNAcentral
UACAGAGGUCCCAAGCGUUGUUCGGAUUCACUGGGCGUAAAGGGUGCGUAGGUGGCCAGGUAAGUUUGGUGUGAAAGCUCGGAGCUUAACUCCGAAAAGUCAUUGAAUACUAUCUGGCUGGAGGGUCGGAGGGGAGACUGGAAUUCUCGGUGUAGCAGUGAAAUGCGUAGAUAUCGAGAGGAGCACCAGUGGCGAAGGCGAGUUGCUGGGCCGACACUGACGCUGAUGCGCGAAAGCCAGGGGAGCGAACGGG